Molecule: long non-coding RNA, 1508 nt
Organism: Mesocricetus auratus (golden hamster)
Lineage: Eukaryota; Metazoa; Chordata; Mammalia; Rodentia; Cricetidae
Exons: 3
Source: RefSeq, a predicted model, not a curated record
GUGUUCAGAGGACAGCUACAAAGAAGCAGGGAGGAGGAGGAGCACUGAGGAGUUAGAGAAGCCUGUGUGGUGGCACACCCUUGGGAGACUGAGGCAGGAAGAUCAGAAGUCCGAGGCUAGCCUGAGGCUAUGUGUGCUACAUGACAAAUGACCCCAACAGCCUAGAGCAGCAGCACGAAGCCCUUCAUUAUUAUCUCACACAGCUCAUGGCAGCCAGGAACUCAGGAGCGGUGAGGAGAUCGGUUCUGGCUUGGCAUCUCUCAUGGGCUGUAGAUGCCAGCCAGGGCUGUGGUUAUCUGAAGAUGAUGUUCUGUACACUCACGUGGCUGUUGAGAUCAGAAAAGAGCUUCAGAUCCCUUGGAACUGGAAUAACAGACAGUUGUGAGCAGCCACGUGGGUUCCUGGAACCAAAGUCAGUCCUCUGCAAGAGAAGUAUUCUUAACCACUGAGCCAUCUCUCUAGCCUCCAAGGGAUGUGAUUAACCCAACAGUCUAUACUUAAAGUCUCCAAAGACCUACAACAAACAAACAACCCUAAUGAAGCGUGGUGACAUCCGUACCAAAUCUCAACAAGCCUGAACUCCAGUGAAGAACACCAUGUACAGCACACUGUCUCUAUCUCUCCACAUUCUCCAUCAGAACCCAAUCCGUCUGUGGACUAAUCCCAUCCUAGACCAGGUAUUUGGAGACUCACAGUUCCCCUUAUGGUUCAUGGUCCUCCUCUGCCAAAUGUGUUUACUUGUCCUAAUUGCCAAGACUCUGAAGCGGGGAGCGGGGGAGCGGGUGUGUGUGUGUGUGUGUGUGUGUGUGAAAACAGGACAAAAUGUGAAGACAGCUUAUGAACUGUAAAGUAUUGUUAAAAUCAAAGCCAUUACACUUAUUUUUUUCUUAAGGAAUUUUCCAAUCCAUUCUAUCCUGAGUUUAAAAAAAAAACAAAAACACUUUCUUUUAUCCUGAAAUAUUUAAUAAGCUAUAAGAAGAAUUUUGAUUUGUGGGGAAAGAUGAAACCUCAAAUUGAAUUUCUAAGUGCUUGGUUUGUGUUUAUUACUAAUUUAUUUCCUUGUUAAACUUCGGAUGAUGUGUGAUAAACUGUCUGUGUCAUGGUGCUAUUGAUUGCACUGCAUUACAAGCUGAAUUAAAUGUGCAUUACUCUGGGGCUGGUCACCGUGACGGACGCUUUAAAAGGUUUUGAGGGAGAAUAAGUGAGGACCAUUAGGGCCCUCUAGACUCUGUCCCCCGUUGACCCCUGUCACCCUGGGGAAGUUCUCCUGCAGUUUGGUCACAUGUAUAACUUUGUCUUAAUGCUUCCUCUAAUGAUGUCUAAUGGCUGCUUGGUCAUACCACAUACUUUGUAAAGAAAUAGUUGUCUCCCACAACCUUGUCUUGGGCACAUUCUAGAAGAUUAGAAUGUGUAUAACCAUGUCAAAUACAAAAAUCCAUAGUGAGUUUCUCUGUACUAGGUAAUCCUCUGUGUGAUUGAAAACAAACAAACAAACAAGCAAACCAAAA